GGUGGUGAAACACGGGGCUUUUGGAUGCCUUACUCUGAGAAAAGCCAUGAUAAGGACCUGUCUUCAUAAUAAGGUAUAAAACUGUCAUUCUGGCAGUCUAGUAAGCUCUGUUUGACUGGGAGAAUGAUACCUACCCAGGAACAGCAGGACAUAAUACAGAGUUCCUGUACUACAAAUAAGGGUAAUAUAAACAAAGUUUUCCGCCUAUACAUUUCUUGAAGUAUUUAUAGUAUGUAUGCAGAUCAUAUUACUGGUACCUUUUUUUUUUUUUCUCAGGUACUAAAAAUCCCUAAUUCUUGAGAGAAAAAAUUGAGAGAAAAAGGUAUUUGUCAGUAGCUUGGUGCUUCUUAUGCAUCUGCCUUGAAUUUUUCCCUGCUAUGGAGGACAGCUAAGAUUUAAUUAACUACAAGCAGAAAAAGAACUUCUAAGUUCCUCAUAAAGACCAUAUUCUGCCAGCUGGGCUGAAAAAAACUAAAACAAAAAAUAUGCAAGUAAUGGCAGCUAAUGGCAUUUCCAAAUAGACCAUCUCUAACCCUAUUAUCAAGAUGGGUAGUUUGUACCUAUACCAAUAGUUUAGUCACACUCCUCAUGUUCUUACACCUUCAUCCAAGUUCCUCAAGAGGUCACCAUGUUUACCACAUGGUAAAUUCAAGUUCCUCCUCCCAUCUGGAGAAGUUGGUGCAAAAAAAGAAGAUAUGGCAAUAUUUUGCGUCUACUCAUGUUCCCUUAGAGAAACAGCUUUUCUUGGGAAGCUGGAGCCUGGUUCUAGUCCAGUUUUCUUGUCCUGAGGUAAACCCAAAGUAUGCCUUUGAGAAGACAAGUGUAUUCACUUUAUUCACCUCUACCCUUGAUGGCAGAAAUUGUUUUCAACCCAGGCUGCAUGGUCAGAAUGGAAGUGCAGUAAAUGCUCUUGUUCUGUGGAAACUACAGAACCAAGUGAUUAUUGGGACUUAUUUUGACUGUAGCCAAGUGUUCUAAAGCAUUACACAGUCUGUGAAUUUGGUUUUUCUGCACCGUGUGUUAAUGAAUAAUCUGCUGCAUACCUUUAUGUUGCGAAGUCUGGUGUUUCAAUUGUUCAUUGCAGAACGUGGAAAGCAACUAAUUAUUACUAGUUUGUUUGGAUUUUUUAAGUGGUACCCAUGAUUACUAGACAAAACAUUGUAAGGUGAGAUAAACUGAAGGGCUGAGCUAACAGCUCAUCAUUGUCAAAUGAGGAGACCCUGCUCCCUUUACCCUGUCCCAUUUCCUAGGAACAGGGUAAAGGGAGCAGGGUCUCCUCAUUUGACAAUCUUCAACAUUUCACCAGUUUUUACACUUGCUGGGUCCUUCACUGAACUGCUCACAUUUGAUAACAAAGCAACUUAAAGGGAAGAGCUUCUUUGUGGGCAGUGACUGGUCUUACAUAAUUUCACACUUAAACAAAAUGAUCAUGCAAGCCCUGGGACACGUGAGCCUCAGGCACAAAGCAGCAUCUGCUUACAGAUAACCAUUUGUGAUUUCUGCCCUUCUGUUCAGUUGUGGACAUUUAAGCCAAGUGACCUCCCUGUAAGCCUGGAUUCCCACCAACCAAAGUGAUGAGUCAAGACUGCAACAGCUCACAUCCUCUGUGGCUCACCAGAGAGACCUCUAACACCAGAAGACUCUAGUUGCAUGAAAUUUUAACACAGAAAUUUCAACUAGGCACAUUGUCAAUUACUCCCAUCCUCUGUUAGAGACCGACUAAAUCCCAGAGGGUAGAAAUGACAUACUUCCUGAAGGAAAACCUGCAAACAAGCAUCUCACCUGGCUAUUCUAAUGAUAUUUGCUCUUUCUGGAUACAAAACCCUUGACAGAUGUGAUUGCUUGGAAUUGACAGCUUUCUCUUAAUUUGAUAGAAACUCCACAAAACACAGGGUUGCUGCUGCUGCUCGUGCUCUUGGCUCUGUUGAUUCUUCUUUCCAUGCCAAAACUGGAGCGGCUGCCUCUGGAUCCCAAGACAUGGAGAGGCAAAAGUGUAAUAAUAUGUCUUAGGGUUCUUCCUUCCUGGGCAGGGAUUAUGGAAGACUACUCCACUACAAAUCCUGCAGAAGAAUGGUUCCUUACAUGUGGUUAUGCCUGACCUUGGAAAAGGGGUGAAAUUUCUCAACACAGAACCAAGCAAUUUCCGUACCAAGAAUCAAGGUUUGUUUAAAUCAAGCAGUAACUACCCAGCAGAUGCAACAACACAGAGCACCUGGGCAUAGAACGGCUGUCCUUGUCACACCUUUGUCUUCAAUAGCUCUGUAGCAAUCCUGAGGGCGCUCCUCCUAGUGUGCUAUUGCCAACGCCAAAGGAAGAAGGUGUGAUUUUUUUUUCCACUUCUCUAGGCAGAGCUAUGUUUUCCUCAGCCAUAGGCCACAGGCUAUCACAGAAGUUCAGGCUGUUAGCUUGGAAGCUUUAAAAGGCAGAGAAAAUAUAAUCAAGCUGGAGACACCUGAGACUAGAGAGAAAGUGUGUCAUGCAGUGAGUGGACAAAGUCCCUGCUUGUAGUGCUACCCCACCUACUGAGGCAUUGAUAACACAUUUUUAAGUGUCACCUGACAGACAGUAAUCCUGCAUUUUCCUAGAGUAUCUCAUAACUGUGGAUCCAAAAUAAUUUCUCUUGAUUGUCACAGCAAAGAAAAAAACAGUGAGAGAAGCUAAGUUAUUUUGUUGAAAUGUUUAUUUUACAAAGCCUAUGGCUUUGAACACCUGCUUAGCAAACUAUGCAGUCCACACUGGUGUCUUUGGAAGAUCAACUGCCCUGAAGAAAGUUACCAGAGAAGAGGUACCUGCUUGGCUCCUUCCUGAAAUGAAGGAACCAUGAACAGCAGAUUCCAAGCAGAUGCACAUAGGUCCUGGAUAUGAAUUCCGAAUUAAUAAAAUAAUAAUGAAGCUUGUAUCUCAGCUGCUGUUUUUUUGUUUGUCUCCCUUCUCAAUCUUGUUCAGAGGAUUUAAUCAAGUUAAUUUUUCUUGGCACUGUGUUCUCCAUGUUUUGAAGUAUUAGGGGACAGAAAGAUUUCUGCUACCACAGGAAUAUGAUAUCACAUGGAAAAGAAAUACAGCAUGCAAUAAAAUACCAUGGAUUGCUUUUGAAUCACCAUAACCAUUAUUAUUAGGCUAAUGCAGCCAUCCCAGUCAAAUUUGGGACACUCAUUUUUGGGGAGAGACUAUUUAAAAUUUCAGGCAAUGGCCAUGAAACCAAUAAGUCUUUUGUGGGAGCUGACUGAUCUAUCAUCCAGCAGUCAGACAUUAUGCUGUCACAAAUUAAAUGCUCUUCCUUUUCAAGUUUUAUCUUCUUGUUUAGCUGUCACAGUGAUCCUUCCAUGAGUUUUCUUGCAGAGAGCAGAAGGAAAAUAAUCAGUCAAGAUCAUUGUUAUGCUGGAAGUAAGCCACCUUUUAUCUUAAGAUAUUUAUUAUCUCAGUUGAAGAUCCAAACACCCACUCCAAGCAACCUCCUGAACACAGGGGAAGGAUGUGUGCUGUUUGACCUCCUGGAUACAACUCCGCAUCUGUCAUGCCAUCAUAGGAGAUGGGUGAGAUAAACACCACCACAGGAUAGGCUGUUAUCCUCCAGGUACAUGAUGUAAUUUCCCAGUGAUCACAAUGUUUAAUGUGGUAGCAGCACAUUUAUAUAAAAGCCAUUAUUUGUGUACUCCUACUAGGACAGCUAGCAAGCAGAGAUUGUCUCCUGAAGCUCUGUAUGACAUAUUAUGCAUGCUCAGUCUAGUACAGAAAUUGGUCUCUAAGACAUAUGAAUAUACUCAUAACUAGUUUUUGCAUAUACUCAGUGAGUGCAGUGAAGUGGUGCAAAGAUAAUUAAGAUACUGGAGCACCUGCCAUACAAGGAGAGGUUGAAAUUUCUGGGACUGCUUAGUCUUGAGAAAAGGUUGAGCCUCAAUGUGCAUAAGUACCUAAAAGGAAGGUGUGAAACUCAGACUCUUACUGGUAUCCUCUGAAAGGAUAUGAAAUAAAGUACAUUCAAUUUAGACAUAAUUUUCAUUUAUCUAUUUUUAAAGAGGUCAUGAAUAAACACUAGAAGAGGUUACCCAGAGAGGUUGUAGAGUUUCUAACCUUAGAGAUAUACAAAACUUAAUUGAGCACAGAUCCUUUCCACUGACUGUGUGAAGUAGGAAAAUUCCGUGGAGAUGUAUUUAUCUGGCACAGAUUAUCAGAUAAAAUCCUCCUAGGGCUGUGACAAACAUGAACCUGCUGAAAAUCCCCAAAUCCUACUGCCAUACCCACUGCUUUUAUUUUCCUCAGCAGAAGGUGUUCACAAAGACACUAAAAAUGAAAAGCUACUUGCUCUCAAGCUGGAGUUUGAUACUCAUAGUGUUCAUAUGCAGAGCUCACUUUUCCCCUUUGCUCCAGAACUCUGCAUAUUUAGUACUUCAUAGCCAGGAGGGAAAAGCAUGUUCUGUUAGUAUAAAAAUGUGAGGAGGCUGAAGACACAGAUACAGCACAUAGUUAUAAGUGGUAGAAUUUGUGAACACUGCAAUGUGUGUAAGGUCUGCACACUGAGACAAUCUCUUUUUUACUUGGUUAACUUCUGUUUCCUGAGGUGUACUGUAAAAUGAGUAAAUAUUUUGAGGAAGAAAAGCAGAAGAUCUGAAAGGAGAUUGAAACAAAUCUCUUCUUCAUCAGUCCAAAUUCUAGUUCUCAGCAAUCCAUUGUAAAGGUAAGGUGAUUUUUAACACACCUGUUUUACUCAGUGUUGCUUGCUCAUCAGUAGUAAAGUAGUUCUAUGUGAACCUUUCUCUGCUAAUAAACCUUACUAUUUGUAAGACAAGGGAAAUUAAGGUAGUUUCGAGGCCAUCACUGAAAGAAAAAAGACUCCCCAUUAAAAAAGUCCCCCUGUUCUCCAUACUGUUUCAAGAGCUAUAGCAAUUGCUAGCAGAGAACUGUGAGAUGAAGUGGACUUAGCAUGUACAAAAGUGAUGUACACAUAAGAUUCCUUUUUCUUGUUUUGGAUUACAAAAGGUCAAGGUAGCUUUCUAAGCACCCAUUGUCAAAAGGGCAACACCUCCUCAGCAUAUGCUGAAAAUAAAUGGACAGUCCUAAGAGUAAAGGAAAAGUAAAACAAGCCUCUGUAGACACAAGGCAACCUGUCACCCAACUCAGAGAAGCAAAACAUUAUGCUGUUACCCAAAGGAUGGCUCUAAUGAUACCAUUCCGUGCUGUCAACAUCAUUCCUUUCUGAAAUAAUCCCAAGAGAAACCCCAAUUAUAGAACACAACAACCUAGGUUUUAGUAGUUCGCUGUCUCUUUUGAUGAGACAUUGAAUAGCCCACCUAGACUGGCAGUCUCAUGUUUUAUAAAUACAAAUUUAUACUUAGGAGAUGACAAUUUAAAAUUGUUCUUAAAAUACUGUACUUAAAAGAUACAAAGACUUCUGUUACAAAGUUGCAGUCAUAGUAUUACCUUUUAAAAUACAUUAGGCACAAAAUAGAUUAGCUGCACAAAUGCUUAGUUUACAUAUCCUUCCCUGUCCCUGCCGCAACAUCCACUGCCAUCUGUGAGUUCAGAGAUCACACCUCCAAAAAAUAAUAAAUGUAAUUUUUUUUUCACCAACACAGUGUAUAUUUUUUAUCUUACAAAAAUUUCAUUUGUAUUAGUUAGAAUCUGUUCUUUGAGGAAAUUCUUGAAUUCUUCAGCUGAUCAGGGAAUGAUAAUGGCACCAGCAGUACAGCCCAUCCUCAUGGCUCACUGAAUGGCAGCCAGAAGUCAGAUCGACUACAGGCUUUUCUGGAUACUUGCUAAAUACAUGUGGUUUCUUGGUCUUUUCUUCCCCCCAAAGUUGCCAGUUAUUGGUUUGUGAUGCAGGAUCCCAUUUAAGGCAUUAUAAACCAAAGAAACUAAAUUCAAUUAAUGUAUUUUUAUAAUGAGGGGAAAAGAAGACAACUUGCUGGACCAAAAACAAUAGUUCAGAUGAAAGCUGUUGAUUAAGAGCCAGUUAAAAAGCAACUCUUAAAAGUCUUGUUACUAUUGAGAAAUGAGGCAACCCAAACCUGCCAGUGAAGUGAACUUUUCCCACCACCACCUUUAACUAACUUCAACACCCACUUUAGAGCUGAUGGUCUCUUGAAUUUUGUGCUUUUUCACUCCUUCUUUGGUCGACCUUUGAAGGUAUUCAUGAUCUCAAUGAGUCCAAAGUAGUCUAAAAGAAGAACCAGUACUUUCACUGGUAGGAA
Passer domesticus (house sparrow) is the source of this 6188-nucleotide long non-coding RNA. RefSeq lists it as uncharacterized. The transcript is spliced from 3 exons. Lineage: Eukaryota; Metazoa; Chordata; Aves; Passeriformes; Passeridae. The record is from RefSeq and is a predicted model, not a curated record.